This 360-nucleotide ribosomal RNA is filed under the name uncultured bacterium. Its description in RNAcentral is "bacterial SSU rRNA". It matches the Rfam family "Bacterial small subunit ribosomal RNA", at positions 29 to 416 of the family's 1533-position model. The record is from RNAcentral.
AACGAACGCUGGCGGCAGGCCUAACACAUGCAAGUCGAACGCCGUAGCAAUACGGAGUGGCAGACGGGUGAGUAACACGUGGGAACGUACCCUUUGGUUCGGAAUAACUCAGGGAAACUUGAGCUAAUACCGGAUAAGCGCGAAAGCGGAAAGAUUUAUCGCCGAAGGAUCGGCCCGCGUCCGAUUAGCUAGUUGGUGAGGUAAUGGCUCACCAAGGCGACGAUCGGUAGCUGGUCUGAGAGGAUGAUCAGCCACACUGGGACUGAGACACGGCCCAGACUCCUACGGGAGGCAGCAGUGGGGAAUAUUGCACAAUGGGCGCAAGCCUGAUGCAGCGACGCCGCGUGGGGGAUGACGGCC